GAUGAACGCUAGCGGAAGGCUUAAUACAUGCAAGUCGAGCGGUAGUCCCUUUCGGGGGAUGAGAGCGGCGCACGGGUGAGUAACGCGUACAUGACCUGCCUAUCAGAAGGGGAUAGCCCUGGGAAACUGGGAUUAAUACCCUAUGGCAUUGUAUUUUUAAAUGGAUACAAUUAAAGCUUAGGCGCUGAUAGAUGGAUGUGCGUCUGAUUAGCUAGUUGGUGGGGUAAAGGCCCACCAAGGCGACGAUCAGUAGGGGGCGUGAGAGCGUGGUCCCCCACACGGGUACUGAGACACGGACCCGACUCCUACGGGAGGCAGCAGUAAGGAAUAUUGGUCAAUGCCCGCAAGGGUGAACCAGCCAUUCCGCGUGGAGGAUGAAGGCCCUAUGGGUUGUAAACUUCUUUUAGAUGGGAAGAAAAUGCUUUGUUUACAAGGUACUGACGGUACCAUCAGAAUAAGCACCGGCUAACUCCGUGCCAGCAGCCGCGGUAA
RNAcentral lists this ribosomal RNA (492 nucleotides) under uncultured bacterium. RNAcentral's name for it is "partial 16S ribosomal RNA". It matches the Rfam family "Bacterial small subunit ribosomal RNA", at positions 28 to 523 of the family's 1533-position model. The record is from RNAcentral.